Molecule: ribosomal RNA, 1528 nt
Filed under: Klebsiella pneumoniae
Lineage: Bacteria; Pseudomonadati; Pseudomonadota; Gammaproteobacteria; Enterobacterales; Enterobacteriaceae
Description: bacterial SSU rRNA
Rfam family: Bacterial small subunit ribosomal RNA
Source: RNAcentral
AGAGUUUGAUCAUGGCUCAGAUUGAACGCUGGCGGCAGGCCUAACACAUGCAAGUCGAGCGGUAGCACAGAGAGCUUGCUCUCGGGUGACGAGCGGCGGACGGGUGAGUAAUGUCUGGGAAACUGCCUGAUGGAGGGGGAUAACUACUGGAAACGGUAGCUAAUACCGCAUAACGUCGCAAGACCAAAGUGGGGGACCUUCGGGCCUCAUGCCAUCAGAUGUGCCCAGAUGGGAUUAGCUAGUAGGUGGGGUAACGGCUCACCUAGGCGACGAUCCCUAGCUGGUCUGAGAGGAUGACCAGCCACACUGGAACUGAGACACGGUCCAGACUCCUACGGGAGGCAGCAGUGGGGAAUAUUGCACAAUGGGCGCAAGCCUGAUGCAGCCAUGCCGCGUGUGUGAAGAAGGCCUUCGGGUUGUAAAGCACUUUCAGCGGGGAGGAAGGCGUUAAGGUUAAUAACCUUGGCGAUUGACGUUACCCGCAGAAGAAGCACCGGCUAACUCCGUGCCAGCAGCCGCGGUAAUACGGAGGGUGCAAGCGUUAAUCGGAAUUACUGGGCGUAAAGCGCACGCAGGCGGUCUGUCAAGUCGGAUGUGAAAUCCCCGGGCUCAACCUGGGAACUGCAUUCGAAACUGGCAGGCUAGAGUCUUGUAGAGGGGGGUAGAAUUCCAGGUGUAGCGGUGAAAUGCGUAGAGAUCUGGAGGAAUACCGGUGGCGAAGGCGGCCCCCUGGACAAAGACUGACGCUCAGGUGCGAAAGCGUGGGGAGCAAACAGGAUUAGAUACCCUGGUAGUCCACGCUGUAAACGAUGUCGAUUUGGAGGUUGUGCCCUUGAGGCGUGGCUUCCGGAGCUAACGCGUUAAAUCGACCGCCUGGGGAGUACGGCCGCAAGGUUAAAACUCAAAUGAAUUGACGGGGGCCCGCACAAGCGGUGGAGCAUGUGGUUUAAUUCGAUGCAACGCGAAGAACCUUACCUGGUCUUGACAUCCACAGAACUUAGCAGAGAUGCUUUGGUGCCUUCGGGAACUGUGAGACAGGUGCUGCAUGGCUGUCGUCAGCUCGUGUUGUGAAAUGUUGGGUUAAGUCCCGCAACGAGCGCAACCCUUAUCCUUUGUUGCCAGCGGUUAGGCCGGGAACUCAAAGGAGACUGCCAGUGAUAAACUGGAGGAAGGUGGGGAUGACGUCAAGUCAUCAUGGCCCUUACGACCAGGGCUACACACGUGCUACAAUGGCAUAUACAAAGAGAAGCGACCUCGCGAGAGCAAGCGGACCUCAUAAAGUAUGUCGUAGUCCGGAUUGGAGUCUGCAACUCGACUCCAUGAAGUCGGAAUCGCUAGUAAUCGUAGAUCAGAAUGCUACGGUGAAUACGUUCCCGGGCCUUGUACACACCGCCCGUCACACCAUGGGAGUGGGUUGCAAAAGAAGUAGGUAGCUUAACCUUCGGGAGGGCGCUUACCACUUUGUGAUUCAUGACUGGGGUGAAGUCGUAACAAGGUAACCGUAGGGGAACCUGCGGUUGGAUCACCU